Molecule: ribosomal RNA, 2526 nt
Filed under: Escherichia coli
Lineage: Bacteria; Pseudomonadati; Pseudomonadota; Gammaproteobacteria; Enterobacterales; Enterobacteriaceae
Also listed under: 2 other names
Description: partial 23S ribosomal RNA
Rfam family: Bacterial large subunit ribosomal RNA
Source: RNAcentral
GGGACACGUGGUAUCCUGUCUGAAUAUGGGGGGACCAUCCUCCAAGGCUAAAUACUCCUGACUGACCGAUAGUGAACCAGUACCGUGAGGGAAAGGCGAAAAGAACCCCGGCGAGGGGAGUGAAAAAGAACCUGAAACCGUGUACGUACAAGCAGUGGGAGCCUCUUAAUGGGGUGACUGCGUACCUUUUGUAUAAUGGGUCAGCGACUUAUAUUCUGUAGCAAGGUUAACCGAAUAGGGGAGCCGAAGGGAAACCGAGUCUUAACUGGGCGUUAAGUUGCAGGGUAUAGACCCGAAACCCGGUGAUCUAGCCAUGGGCAGGUUGAAGGUUGGGUAACACUAACUGGAGGACCGAACCGACUAAUGUUGAAAAAUUAGCGGAUGACUUGUGGCUGGGGGUGAAAGGCCAAUCAAACCGGGAGAUAGCUGGUUCUCCCCGAAAGCUAUUUAGGUAGCGCCUCGUGAAUUCAUCUCCGGGGGUAGAGCACUGUUUCGGCAAGGGGGUCAUCCCGACUUACCAACCCGAUGCAAACUGCGAAUACCGGAGAAUGUUAUCACGGGAGACACACGGCGGGUGCUAACGUCCGUCGUGAAGAGGGAAACAACCCAGACCGCCAGCUAAGGUCCCAAAGUCAUGGUUAAGUGGGAAACGAUGUGGGAAGGCCCAGACAGCCAGGAUGUUGGCUUAGAAGCAGCCAUCAUUUAAAGAAAGCGUAAUAGCUCACUGGUCGAGUCGGCCUGCGCGGAAGAUGUAACGGGGCUAAACCAUGCACCGAAGCUGCGGCAGCGACACUAUGUGUUGUUGGGUAGGGGAGCGUUCUGUAAGCCUGUGAAGGUGUACUGUGAGGUAUGCUGGAGGUAUCAGAAGUGCGAAUGCUGACAUAAGUAACGAUAAAGCGGGUGAAAAGCCCGCUCGCCGGAAGACCAAGGGUUCCUGUCCAACGUUAAUCGGGGCAGGGUGAGUCGACCCCUAAGGCGAGGCCGAAAGGCGUAGUCGAUGGGAAACAGGUUAAUAUUCCUGUACUUGGUGUUACUGCGAAGGGGGGACGGAGAAGGCUAUGUUGGCCGGGCGACGGUUGUCCCGGUUUAAGCGUGUAGGCUGGUUUUCCAGGCAAAUCCGGAAAAUCAAGGCUGAGGCGUGAUGACGAGGCACUACGGUGCUGAAGCGACAAAUGCCCUGCUUCCAGGAAAAGCCUCUAAGCAUCAGGUAACAUCAAAUCGUACCCCAAACCGACACAGGUGGUCAGGUAGAGAAUACCAAGGCGCUUGAGAGAACUCGGGUGAAGGAACUAGGCAAAAUGGUGCCGUAACUUCGGGAGAAGGCACGCUGAUAUGUAGGUGAAGCGACUUGCUCGUGGAGCUGAAAUCAGUCGAAGAUACCAGCUGGCUGCAACUGUUUAUUAAAAACACAGCACUGUGCAAACACGAAAGUGGACGUAUACGGUGUGACGCCUGCCCGGUGCCGGAAGGUUAAUUGAUGGGGUUAGCGGUAACGCGAAGCUCUUGAUCGAAGCCCCGGUAAACGGCGGCCGUAACUAUAACGGUCCUAAGGUAGCGAAAUUCCUUGUCGGGUAAGUUCCGACCUGCACGAAUGGCGUAAUGAUGGCCAGGCUGUCUCCACCCGAGACUCAGUGAAAUUGAACUCGCUGUGAAGAUGCAGUGUACCCGCGGCAAGACGGAAAGACCCCGUGAACCUUUACUAUAGCUUGACACUGAACAUUGAGCCUUGAUGUGUAGGAUAGGUGGGAGGCUUUGAAGUGUGGACGCCAGUCUGCAUGGAGCCGACCUUGAAAUACCACCCUUUAAUGUUUGAUGUUCUAACGUGGGCCCCUUACCGGGGUUGCGGACAGUGUCUGGUGGGUAGUUUGACUGGGGCGGUCUCCUCCUAAAGAGUAACGGAGGAGCACGAAGGUUGGCUAAUCCUGGUCGGACAUCAGGAGGUUAGUGCAAUGGCAUAAGCCAGCUUGACUGCGAGCGUGACGGCGCGAGCAGGUGCGAAAGCAGGUCAUAGUGAUCCGGUGGUUCUGAAUGGAAGGGCCAUCGCUCAACGGAUAAAAGGUACUCCGGGGAUAACAGGCUGAUACCGCCCAAGAGUUCAUAUCGACGGCGGUGUUUGGCACCUCGAUGUCGGCUCAUCACAUCCUGGGGCUGAAGUAGGUCCCAAGGGUAUGGCUGUUCGCCAUUUAAAGUGGUACGCGAGCUGGGUUUAGAACGUCGUGAGACAGUUCGGUCCCUAUCUGCCGUGGGCGCUGGAGAACUGAGGGGGGCUGCUCCUAGUACGAGAGGACCGGAGUGGACGCAUCACUGGUGUUCGGGUUGUCAUGCCAAUGGCACUGCCCGGUAGCUAAAUGCGGAAGAGAUAAGUGCUGAAAGCAUCUAAGCACGAAACUUGCCCCGAGAUGAGUUCUCCCUGACUCCUUGAGAGUCCUGAAGGAACGUUGAAGACGACGACGUUGAUAGGCCGGGUGUGUAAGCGCAGCGAUGCGUUGAGCUAACCGGUACUAAUGAACCGUGAGGCUUAACCUU